AGAGUUGAUCAUGGCUCAGAACGAACGCUGGCGGCGCGUCUUAAGCAUGCAAGUCGAACGGCAUGAGGAAGCUUGCUCCUCAGAGAGUGGCGGACUGGUGAGUAACACGUGGGUGACCUACCCUUGAGAUGGGGAUAGCCGUUAGAAAUAGCGGAUAAUACCGAAUACGCUCUACGGACUCUGGUUUGUAGAGGAAACAGGGCUACGGCCUGGCUCGAGGAUGGGCCCGCGUCCCAUUAGCUAGUUGGUGAGGUAAGAGCCCACCAAGGCGACGAUGGGUAUCCGGCCUGAGAGGGUGUACGGACACAUUGGGACUGAGAUACGGCCCAAACUCCUACGGGAGGCAGCAGCUAAGAAUAUUCCGCAAUGGACGAAAGUCUGACGGAGCGGCGCCGCGUGGAUGACGAAGGCCGAAAGGUUGUAAAAUCCUUUUGCUGAUGAAGAAUAAGCGUGGUAGGGAAUGACCGCGUGAUGACAUUAGUCGGUGAAUAAGCCCCGGCUAACUACGUGCCAGCCGCAGC
RNAcentral lists this ribosomal RNA (521 nucleotides) under uncultured bacterium. RNAcentral describes it as "bacterial SSU rRNA". It matches the Rfam family "Bacterial small subunit ribosomal RNA", at positions 8 to 518 of the family's 1533-position model. The record is from RNAcentral.